Collybia nuda is the source of this 89-nucleotide non-coding RNA. NCBI's taxonomy places the organism in Eukaryota, Fungi, Basidiomycota, Agaricomycetes, Agaricales, Clitocybaceae. The record is from the annotation of a GenBank genome assembly.
GCCCGCCUAGCUCAAUCGGCUAGAGCGUCAGACUUUUAAGACUAGUUGAGUCUAUCUGAAGGCUGCGAGUUCGACCCUCGCGGUGGGCU